GAGUUUGAUCGUGGCUCAGGAUGAACGCUGGCGGCGUGCCUAAUACAUGCAAGUCGAGCGGACGGACGAGAAGCUUGCUUCUCUGAUGUUAGCGGCGGACGGGUGAGUAACACGUGGAUAACCUACCUAUAAGACUGGGAUAACUUCGGGGAAACCGGAGCUAAUACCGGAUAAUAUUUUGAACCGCAUGGUUCAAAAGUGAAAGACGGUCUUGCUGUCACUUAUAGAUGGAUCCGCGCUGCAUUAGCUAGUUGGUAAGGUAACGGCUUACCAAGGCAACGAUGCAUAGCCGACCUGAGAGGGUGAUCGGCCACACCGGAACUGAGACACGGUCCAGACUCCUACGGGAGGCAGCAGUAGGGAAUCUUCCGCAAUGGGCGAAAGCCUGACGGAGCAACGCCGCGUGAGUGAUGAAGGUCUUCGGAUCGUGAAACUCUGUUAUUAGGGAAGAACAUAUGUGUAAGUAACUGUGCACAUCUUGACGGUACCUAAUCAGAAAGCCACGGCUAACUACGUCG
Molecule: ribosomal RNA, 518 nt
Filed under: uncultured microorganism
Description: bacterial SSU rRNA
Rfam family: Bacterial small subunit ribosomal RNA
Source: RNAcentral